CAGCCGCCGCGGUAAUACCAGCUCCCCGAGUGGUCAGGGCGCUUAUUGGGCCUAAAGCAUCCGUAGCCGGCUCUGUAGGUCUCCUGUUAAAUUCAGGGGCCCAACCCCUGAGCUGCGGGAGAUACCGCAGGGCUAGGAGGCGGGAGAGGCGGACGGUACUCCGUGGGUAGGGGCAAAAUCCACUGAUCCACGGAAGACCACCAGUGGCGAAGGCGGUCCGCCAGAACGCGCUCGACGGUGAGGGAUGAAAGCUGGGGGAGCGAACCGGAUUAGAUACCCCGGUAGUCCCAGCUGUAAACGAUGCAGGCUAGGUGUUGGGACGGCCAUGAGCCAUCCCAGUGCCGCAGGGAAGCCAUUAAGCCUGCCACCUGGGAAGUACGGCCGCAAGGCUGAAACCCCUUCAACGGGGCAGUCGACUUA
RNAcentral lists this ribosomal RNA (420 nucleotides) under uncultured archaeon. RNAcentral describes it as "bacterial SSU rRNA". It matches the Rfam family "Archaeal small subunit ribosomal RNA", at positions 459 to 879 of the family's 1478-position model. The record is from RNAcentral.